RNAcentral lists this unclassified non-coding RNA (240 nucleotides) under soil metagenome. RNAcentral's name for it is "partial contains 5.8S ribosomal RNA, internal transcribed spacer 2, and large subunit ribosomal RNA". The record is from RNAcentral.
AACAUCGCGCACCUGCGGGAACCUGCGGAAGGAUCAUUACAGAGUUGCAAAACUCCCUAAACCAUUGUGAACGUUACCUAAACCGUUGCUUCGGCGGGCGGCCCGGGUCCUUCCCGGCGCCCAUCGGCCCUCGCGGGCGCCCGCCGGAGGUAAACCAAACUAUUGCAUUGUACGGCCUCUCUGAGUCUUCUGUACUGAAUAAGUCAAAACUUUUAGCAAUGGAUCUCAGAUCGGAAGAGC